This 535-nucleotide ribosomal RNA is filed under the name uncultured Glomus. RNAcentral's name for it is "SSU rRNA". It matches the Rfam family "Eukaryotic small subunit ribosomal RNA", at positions 555 to 1092 of the family's 1831-position model. The record is from RNAcentral. Lineage: Eukaryota; Fungi; Glomeromycota; Glomeromycetes; Glomerales; Glomeraceae.
CGAAGUCUGGUGCCAGCAGCCGCGGUAAUUCCAGCUCCAAUAGCGUAUAUUAAAGUUGUUGCAGUUAAAAGCUCGUAGUUGAAUUUCGGGGUCAGUAAGUUGGUCGUGCCUACGGUAUGUACUGGCUUUACUGAUUCCUCCUUCUUGAAGAACUGUAAUGCCAUUAAUUUGGUGUUGCAGGGAAUCAGGACUGUUACUUUGAAAAAUUAGAGUGUUUAAAGCAGGCUUACGCUUGAAUACAUUAGCAUGGAAUAAUGAAAUAGGACGUUGAUUCUAAUUUUGUUGGUUUCUAGGGUUGACGUAAUGAUUAAUAGGGAUAGUUGGGGGCAUUAGUAUUCAAUUGUCAGAGGUGAAAUUCUUGGAUUUAUUGAAGACUAACUACUGCGAAAGCAUUUGCCAAGGAUGUUUUCAUUAAUCAAGAACGAAAGUUAGGGGAUCGAAGACGAUCAGAUACCGUCGUAGUCUUAACCAUAAACUAUGCCGACUAGGGAUCGGAUGAUGUUAAUUUUUUUAAUGACUCAUUCGGCGCCUUACG